AGUCAAGCUACAAAGGGCAUACGGUGGAUGCCUUGGCGCUAAGAGCCGAUGAAGGACGGGAUAAGCUCCGAAAAGCUGCGGGGAGUUGCAAGUAAGCUUUGAUCCGCAGAUGUCCGAAUGGGGGAACCCAGCAGUCGUAAUGGACUGUUACUCAAUACUAGAUAUUGAGAGGGAACCCGGGGAACUGAAACAUCUAAGUACCCGGAGGAAAAGUAAUCAAACGAGAUUCCCGAAGUAGCGGCGAGCGAACAGGGAAGAGCCCAAACCAAGAGAGCUUGCUCUUUUGGGGUUGCGGACCAGCAUCAACUUUGUCAGGCCUAGUUGAAUCAUCUGGAAAGAUGAACCACAGAAGGUAAAAGUCCUGUAGGCGAAAGGCAGAGCAAAGGGGCUGGGAUCCAGAGUACCACGAGACACGUGAAACCUUGUGGGAAGCAGGGGGGACCACCCUCCAAGGCAAAAUACUUCUUAGCGACCGAUAGCGCAUAGUACCGUGAGGGAAAGGUGAAAAGCACCCCGGGAGGGGAGUGAAAGAGAACCUGAAACCGUAUGUCUACAAGCAGUCGAAGAGCGUAUAUAUAUCAGCUCAACGGCGUGCCUAUUGAAGAAUGAACCGGCGAGUUACGGUAUCUAGCGAGGUUAAGCAGAAAAUGCGGAGCCGCAGCGAAAGCGAGUCUGAAUAGGGCGCAAGUUAGAUAUCGUAGACCCGAAACCACAGUGAUCUAUCCAUGACCAGGUUGAAGCGCAGGUAAAAUUGCGUGGAGGACCGAACCCGUGAGCGUUGAAAAGCUUUGGGAUGAGUUGUGGAUAGGGGUGAAAUGCCAAUCGAACGUGGAGAUAGCUGGUUCUCCCCGAAAUAGCUUUAGGGCUAGCCUCAAGAAGUAAGUAUAGACGGUAGAGCUCUGAUCGGGCUAGGGGCCGUAUAGGUUACUGAACCCUGUCAAACUGCGAAUGACUAUACUGGAAUCUUGGGAGUCAGACUGCGAGUGAUAAGACCCGUAGUCAAAAGGGAAACAGCCCAGACCAUCAGCUAAGGUCCCCAAUGCUGUGCUAAGUGGCAAAGGAUGUGAAACUUCACAAACAACCAGGAUGUUGGCUUAGAAGCAGCCACCAUUUAAAGAGUGCGUAAUAGCUCACUGGUCGAGAGGUUUUGCGCCGAAGAUGUCCGGGGCUAAAGCACAGAACCGAAGCUAUGGCUUGAUAUCUUUGGAUAUCAGGGGUAGGGGAGCGUUCUUACUGGGUCGAAGCAGUACCGUAAGGAGCUGUGGACUGGUAAGAAGUGAGAAUGCCGGUAUGAGUAGCGAAAAGAGAAGUGAGAAUCUUCUCCACCGAAAGCCUAAGGAUUCCUGAGGAAGGCUCGUCCGCUCAGGGUAAGUCGGGACCUAAGCCGAGGCGUAGAUGCGUAGGCGAUGGACAACAGGUUGAAAUUCCUGUACCGCCAAAGUUCGUUUGAGUGAAGGAGUGACACAGGAGGAAGGUUGAGCGCGAGGAUGGAAAUUCGCGUCUAAGCCGGUAGGGUGUAAGCGAGGCAAAUCCCGCUUACGAAAAGCCUGAGAGGUGAUGGGUAGUUUUUCCUUGGAAAGACGAAAUCAACUGGACCACACUGUCAAGAAAAGCUUCUAGCGAGAACUAAGGCGCCCGUACCGCAAACCGACACAGGUAGGCGGGAAGAGUAUUCUAAGGUGCGCGGGAAAACCCUUGUUAAGGAACUCGGCAAAAUGUCCCCGUAACUUCGGGAAAAGGGGAGCCCUAAUAUCGUGAAGGACAGAAACGUCCGGAGCGAGAGAGGGUUGCAAAAGAGAGGCCCAAGCGACUGUUUACCACAAACACAGGUGCCUGCUAAAGCGAAAGCUGACGUAUAGGUGCUGACACCUGCCCGGUGCUGGAAGGUUAAGAGGAGGGCUUAGGAGCAAUCCGAAGGUCUGAAUUGAAGCCCCAGUAAACGGCGGCCGUAACUAUAACGGUCCUAAGGUAGCGAAAUUCCUUGUCGGGUAAGUUCCGACCCGCACGAAAGGUGUAACGACUUGGGCACUGUCUCAACAAGGGACCCGGUGAAAUUGAAAUACCUGUGAAGAUGCAGGUUACCCGCGACUGGACAGAAAGACCCCAUGGAGCUUUACUGUAGCCUGACAUUGAGUUUUGGUCAAUCAUGUACAGGAUAGGUGGGAGGCUGAGAAAUUGGGACGCUAGUCUCGAUGGAGCCGCUGUUGGGAUACCACCCUUGAUUGACUGGAAUUCUAACUGAAGAAGUAACGACACUCAGGACAGUGUCAGGUGGGCAGUUUGACUGGGGCGGUCGCCUCCGAAAGAGUAACGGAGGCGCCCAAAGGUUCCCUCAGCGCGGUUAGAAAUCGCGCGAAGAGUGUAAAGGCAGAAGGGAGCUUGACUGCGAGUCAGACACGACGAGCAGGUACGAAAGUAGGGCUUAGUGAUCCGGUGGUACCGAGUGGAAGGGCCAUCGCUCAACGGAUAAAAGCUACCCUGGGGAUAACAGGCUAAUCUCUCCCAAGAGUCCAUAUCGACGGGGAGGUUUGGCACCUCGAUGUCGGCUCAUCACAUCCUGGGGCUGAAGUAGGUCCCAAGGGUUGGGCUGUUCGCCCAUUAAAGUGGUACGUGAGCUGGGUUCAGAACGUCGUGAGACAGUUCGGUCCCUAUCCAUCGCGGGCGCAAGAGACUUGAAGGGAGCUGCUCCUAGUACGAGAGGACCGGAGUGGACGAACCAAUGGUGUACCAAUUAUCCCGCCAGGGGUACAGUUGGGUAGCUACGUUCGGAACGGAUAAACGCUGAAAGCAUCUAAGCGUGAAACCAGCCUUAAGAUGAGGUCUCUCAUAGAGUAAUCUAGUAAGGCCCCAUGUAGAUGACAUGGUUGAUAGGCCAGGUGUGGAAGUCCAGUAAUGGAUGGAGCUGACUGGUACUAAUAGGCCGAGGGCUUGACUUA
Molecule: ribosomal RNA, 2936 nt
Filed under: Enterobacter sp.
Lineage: Bacteria; Pseudomonadati; Pseudomonadota; Gammaproteobacteria; Enterobacterales; Enterobacteriaceae
Description: 23S ribosomal RNA
Rfam family: Bacterial large subunit ribosomal RNA
Source: RNAcentral